This 719-nucleotide long non-coding RNA is filed under the name Vigna radiata. RNAcentral describes it as "long non-coding RNA (VRAD_LNC001653)". Lineage: Eukaryota; Viridiplantae; Streptophyta; Magnoliopsida; Fabales; Fabaceae. The record is from RNAcentral.
GGUGAUAUGUCAUUGAUUGCUCAGUUGGACAUUUAGUCGUUAACGAUUUAAACGUCGUUAGUCAAAAGGACAAAAUUGAAUAUAAAUUACAAUAUAAGGAACUACAUUGAACAUUAAAAAAAAAUGAGGACCCUUUCGAAUAAAGUUGACAAAAAUUGGGUCCGACAAUGGUAUUAAGCUUAAUAAUUAUAAUAAUAAAGUUAAUAUAAACAAAAUUCUAAUUUUUAUUAUAAUAAAGUAUUAUUAAUAUUUUUAUUGAGAAAACUUGAUUAUAUGCAAGAGAAAGUGUUUCGGAGACGACGACAUGGAGAGCCAAUAAUGUGAGAAGGCUACUGCAUUGAUGAAAUGUGGGGAGAAUGUGAAGUGAAAAGAAGAGAAGAACAACGUCAAUGAGAGGAAUGAAGAUGAAGAGAGAAAGAGAGUACAUGAAGAGAGGACACGUGAAAAUGAAGAGAACAUGAGGAGAAGAUGCUGAAAAUAAAGAAAAUGUGAAGAGGGGACGCAUGAAAAUGAAAAGAACAUGAAGAGAGGAAGAAUUAGGGAUUCAGAUUCUAUGAGAGGUGGUUUACUGCAUAUCAUAAUAUGUUUUGAACUUUAUUAGGAAAAUGUCAUCAUGUCUAACGUAUUAUGAUAGGUGAUAAACUAACAAUCAUAAUAAGGUCUACUAUGAUAGGUCUUCCUAGACUUGUACUAAUACGUUUUGAAUAUAAUUUCAAUUU